RNAcentral lists this ribosomal RNA (257 nucleotides) under uncultured bacterium. RNAcentral's name for it is "partial 16S ribosomal RNA". It matches the Rfam family "Bacterial small subunit ribosomal RNA", at positions 524 to 776 of the family's 1533-position model. The record is from RNAcentral.
UACGUAGGGUGCAAGCGUUGUCCGGAAUUAUUGGGCGUAAAGAGCUCGUAGGCGGUUUGUUGCGUCGGCUGUGAAAACCUGCAGCUUAACUGUGGGCUUGCGGUCGAUACGGGCAUCACUGGAGUUCGGCAGGGGAGACUGGAAUUCCUGGUGUAGCGGUGAAAAUGCGCAGAUAUCAGGAGGAACACCGGUGGCGAAGGCGGGUCUCUGGGCCGAUACUGACGCUGAGGAGCGAAAAGCGUGGGGGAGCGAACAGG